This 4175-nucleotide long non-coding RNA is filed under the name Nicotiana tabacum (common tobacco). RNAcentral's name for it is "long non-coding RNA (NTAB_LNC001643)". Lineage: Eukaryota; Viridiplantae; Streptophyta; Magnoliopsida; Solanales; Solanaceae. The record is from RNAcentral.
UUUUAUUUGAAUAAUUAUGCCACAGUUUCAGUUUUUCUUUCUAUAUAGUAAUUGAAGAAAUAACACUCGAAACAGAAGAGAAAGGAAAGAUUGAAGGGAAACGAAGUUAUGGGAGCUAAUAAGAAUGUUUUGAAAACAUAUCGUGAAGUUUCUUUGCAUAAUUCUCCAGAUGAUUGUUGGGUAAUUAUCAAUGCUAAGGUAAGUAGAGAACUUUCACUUUUUUACCCUUUCUAAUUCCCCCUUGGGUCUAAUAAAAAUUUUCCAUUUUGUAGCGAAAAAAACUAGGUUAAAUUAUACUCUCUCUAUUUCAAAUUAUAUAUCUUAUUGGAGCAGCCCGAUGUAUAAAGUAUCACGUAUUCACGCAGGAUUCGGGGAAGGAUCGCACCCCAAGAGGGUGUGAUGUAGACAGUCUAUCCUAAUGCAAAUAUUAGUGGCUGCUUCCACGGCUCGAACUCGUGACUUAUAAGUCACACGGAGACAACUUUGUCGUUGCUCUAAGGCUCCCUUCUAUAUGGCUUAUUAUAGCAAAAUUCUGAUAUGAUUACAUUUUUUAUAAUAAAUUUGUAUGUUCGGAAAUCACGUAAAAGUGUUAUGAUAUGCAGCUAUACAUUUUGAAAUGUUUUACUAUGGAUAUAACUAAAGUAAUUUGAUUAGUGGAAUAGCAAAUUAAAUAAGAUAUCUAGCUUAGAACAUAGUGAAAUGUAUAUUUUUAUGUAUCUUUCUAGGAGAGUUAAUUUGUAAGGGGUAGCAUGAUUUACUUAAAGGAGCCAACCAAAACUAAUUGUUGUUUAAAAGGCCAGUUGUGAAACUUGAUAUGCAUAAAAAAUUACUCCUAGUACUAUUUUACUAUACUAGUUUUAGGGUAUGCGCAUGUACCUUAUCUCAAUGAGUAACCUCUUUUUUGAAUAUUAAAGUCUUUCUUUGAGUCAUAAAAUAAAAGGCAUAAAUUUUGAGGAGGACGAAUAUUGAUUAUAUAUGAAGAAGAUUGAUUAUAUAUCACUAACUCAAUAAAUGAAGAAACUGUAUAAUAGAACUCCUCAAUUAUUAGUUAUUAUCCUACUGUGGUUGUAUGAUGGUUUUUGUAGGAAUAUUUUAUGAAUAUUAUUGUUAUUUAUACCUACUGAAAAUUAAUAACAUAAAGAUGCUUUUAUCAUGAUUUUUAAAAAUUUAUGAAGUAAUAUAAAUUGAAAAAAUGACUCUAUUAGUCUUCUAGAAAUUAAAGAAUAACGUAGUUAGCCUACGAUUCAGGGAAAAAAUGGUAAGUGACAACAUAAAUUCUGAAAAGACUAAUAUUGAGUUAAUAUUUUUUAAAAGAAGUAACUUAAUUUAUAUAAAAUAUAAUAAGUUGUCAUUAGUUAGAAUAUAUUCUGUCUUCAACUGUUCCAUCCUUAUUGCUUUAAGUUUUCUCUUGGCCAAUUUAAAGUUACUAUACUAUAAAUGAUUUUACUUUAUUUUUAUAUCCUAAGAGUUUUGUCUACUUAAAAAAAAAUUAUUGUGCGAUAAUUAGUUUAAAAAAGAAUUGAAUCUUUUGCUAUAGUUAAUUUUUAGAAUGUAAUCGUUUUUUCGUAAUUCUAAAGGAAAUAGUGUAUUUUUCUGCAAAUUCUAAGUAUUAGUUCAUUCUGAGUUUCGAUUGUGCAAUAAAAAUUCUAUUCUUAAAGGGUGAAAAUUUAUCACAUUUUACUUUGGAUCUUUGUAUUUGAAGAAUCAUUAUUAUUGACUAUUGCUAAUCACCUCUAUCUCUUAUAAGUUUUGCUAGUUUUUUGUUCUAAUUCAAUAUCGUUUUUUAAUAUUAUAAAAAUGACAAAUAAAUAAUAUUAUUUGCGUAGGAAAGUAGUUCAACUAUAAUAGUAUAGAAAUUAGAAAUUAUCAUUAAAAAUUCAUCAUUGAUUAAUACCGCUAUGUUUAACUAUUUAUCUUUAAAUUUAUCAUUAAUUAACAUUNNNNNNNNNNNNNNNNNNNNNNNNNGUUAGAACACUAUUAUUCUAAUAAAUAUAGAUUUAGUAAAUAAAAUUUUAUGUGAUUAAAAAGUCUUAUUUGUUAGGAAAGUAACUGAAUAACAAUUUUGUUUAGCAUAAAAUCCGAUUUAAUGAAUAUAAAAGGUGACGAUAUACUUUUAAUUGGUAAGAAUAAUUCUUCAAUGCUCAAAAACUUAGUAAAAACAAUUCUAUGCAGUGUUAUUAUGAUUUAUUUGAAUAAAAUAAAAAUUUAAACAAAUAGAACACAUGAAGAGUUCAAGUUAUAAUUGAUAUUGGCCAAACAAAAUCAAAUACUCUUGGUAGAAAGGAUAUUUGAAACGUUAAUAUAUUUUCGACUUCUUUUAUUGUUUUUUUUGGUAUCAUAAUUACAGUGAAUCACUUAUAUAAGGUAAACUCUCCAUUGAUUUUUAAAUUUCUUUUUUUUUCAUAGUUUAAAUAAGAAGAGAUAUAAUAAAUAGAAUUUUAGUUGAUGUAAAAGUCCUAAAUAUUAGGAAGAUAAGUAAAAUUACAAAUUUAUUCAAUGUAAACUUUAUUUUUAAAGGGUAGAAAAGGCAAACGACAUUUCGCUAAGCGCCUUCAUGAUUUUAAUAUAGUAUAGAUAUAUACGCGCUUUGCGCAUGUUUUACAUGUCAGUGAAUAAAUAAUUUUUAAAAAAUAAGAUAAAUAUUAAAAAAAUUAAAUUAUAAAAUAAAAUACAUAUUUAGUGUUUGCAAACUCCGAGGAAAUUUUACUAAUUUAGAAUAUAUUUUUAUUUAUAUUGUGCAUAAUUUUUGAAGGUUGAAAUAAUUAUUGACUAUAGUCGUCAAUAUUAUACAAACAAAUCAAUAAAUAAAACCUUAAUUGGUUUUAAGGCUCUAAAUAAUAAAGAUAUUAUAAUUAAAAAAUAGACUACACUUUAAUGGCAUAAGUAUAUUUUCAAGAAAAUAAUUGUAUAAGAUAAUGUAUAUACAAUAGUUUAAUUAUUUAAUUUGAGAAAAAAAUGUAUAAGAUAAUGUAUAUACAAUAGUUUAAUUAUUUAAUUUGAGAAAAAAUGUAUAUUGCAUGGAACUUUGAAAUGCUUUACAAAAAUAUAUGUACAUUCCUAAUGUGUAUGUACUUGCAAAAAAUAAAGUAUGGAGGAAAAGAGCUGAAAAGAGCAAAACCUCUUUUCCAAAAUUAUUUGAUUUAUAUAAGAUAAAUUUUAAUUGAUUUUUAUAUCCUCAAUAUUAUGAUUUAUUUCCUAUGUAGUAAUUGAAGUAAGAAAAACUUUAAUAAGAAAUUUUUUAUUUAAUUUCAAAAUGCAAAAUAUUAGAAAAAUAAUAAAAUGACUAUUUUAUCCAAUAUAAACUCUAUUUUAAGAGUGUUAAAGAGACGAAUAAUAUUUCUCUAAGGUAUUGGAUUUUAACUAAUUAGUUAAUUCACACAUUUAAUUAUUUAUUCUCAACAUUAAGAAAAAUAUUUUCUUAUUAAUUCAAAUUUGUAAUAUUAGUUCAUCCCAAAUUUUAAAUUGUUUAACUACAUCUACACUAAUGUUUAAUUGUAACUAUAUUUUUAUCUAAUAAGAAUUGUAUGUUCAAAAGAUAGAAAAAUCGGUUUGAGGUUCACUUGAAAAUUUUUAGGUUAGUUUAAAGUCCUAAUGUUAGAAAGGUAAUUAUUAUAUUCUUUUCAAUGUAAUCUAUUUUAAACUACAAAAAAUCAACCAACAUUUGGUUAUAUUAAAUUCUAAAAUUAAUUAUUUCUUUAACCAUUUUAUUAGAGUGUAAAAAUUCAAAAUCUGAAUAUAUUAGAGUAAACACCAAAUUGAUAAGAAUAAUACAACGAAAAAUAAAAACCUUGAGUCACAAUGUCACCAUUUAUAUACGUUUGGGAAACUUUAAUUAGGGUGUGAUAAUAAUCCUAAAUAUUAGGAUCUCUUAUCUAGUUUAAUAAGGAAAGAUUUAGCAAUAAAAUAUUUAAUUUAUUUUAAAGUUUUAAAUAUUAAAAAGAUAAUAUAAAUUACAAUUAUGUCCAAUGUGAAAUAUAGUUUUAAGGGGUAAAAAAGGCGAACGAUAUUUCGCUAAGGGCCUUCGUGCUUUUAAUAUAGUAUAGAUAAGUCAAAGACCGGGCAUCAAUAGACUAUAAAAAGUGGAAUAUAUUUUAGUAUCUUGUAAGUUUAAGAAACUAAGAGGCCAAGUUACUACUUAGUGAAAACUAUACUUUAUAAUAAUAGUCGCUCCCAAN